UGAAUGAACAAGCUUGUUGUGUUUAUGAAACCUAAGGAUGCAUUAAAUAUUUAAAUAGGCGUUAGCUUCUAAUUAGAAAGAUACCUUCUACGGUUUUAAUAUUUGAAGCUGAUUAAAAAUGAAGGAGGCUGCAGCUCUGAUGACCUGUCAUCUAUAUUCACCCUGUAGAUCCGAAUUUGUGUAAACAUGACAGACGCUGCAAAUUCGCAUCUUGGGGAGGAUGUAGGUGAUGACCCUUCACCUGGAGGGGGGACUCCUGCCAAGUGGGGGCCCGCUGCAUUUUCAGUUGUGAGUGCCCGUCCAGCGUUGCCCUCGGAGUGGUUCCCUCUCAUUGUUGUCGAGGAGGAGUUUUACUUCACGCCAUGGGAAAAAAAAAGAAGCGAGGAGGAUCUCAACAAACAGCUCCAGCAGACUCCCAGACCGCCGCCGCCCUGAUUGCGAGACGAGAGCCGUGGAAAAACAGUAAGUCCAACUCGUUUUUGCUCCGGAAAAGUGCAGAAAAGUGACCACAACACCCCACCAUUAUCAGAUUUUGCUCUGAAUAAUCUCAGUUCCUCCAACAAAGCUGAUUUAACCACCUAUCUGAUGUUUGUGGUGUUCACUUCCUCUACGUUUUAAUAAUAUUUCAUUUUCCCCCCCUCGAAACGAACACUUGUUUUACAUUUUAAUAGCUGUUUUGUUCCUUUGUGAGGUUUCUUUUUUUAAAGUAAAAUUUAGCAAUGCAUUCACAGUCUGAUGUAUUUAUUUGCGCUGUUGCUUGCUUAUGUUGUGGGAAAUGAAGUUACCACUGUUGAUUCAACUGUCUCUGAAUUAAUUCCGAGCCAUAAAUCCGCCUCCUUGUGGACACGUGGUUCCCGCCGCUAAUUGACAAGAGAGGUUGAGGCGUGCUUGCAUUUGUCAGCAGGCCUGCACGCUGAAUAGAGGGUGUGUGUGUGUGUGUGUGUGUGUGUGUGUGCGUGUGUGCGUGUGUGCGCGCGCGUGUGUGUGUGCGUGCGUGUGUGUGCUCAUUGUUGCAAAAAAAGGAGUCCCAUCUGAUAAUAAUACCGUUGCGGGAUCAAAUAUAAAUCCAUAUUUAUUGUAUUAAUUUCUAUCACGUGACCUCUCGAAGGCUGCACCCUCACUGCUGUUUUCCUGUGUGUUCAUACAGCCCCUUUUUUACGGCCCACUGUUGGGGAUUAGUGAGAUUUAUGGCGCAUUUACACAUUAAUGUUACCACUUUAUUAGGAAAAACUGCCUUUAAUAAUAUUCAGUAAUGUGCAGCUCAGUCCGCCUAAGCCGCCCUGACACUAAAGGUCAUUUCACAUUUGCAGAGCUUUAAGCCUGGCGGAGCACAGUUGUCAUUAUUAUGCUGUCUAACAAGUGAACGUACACUUUAAAUUAAAACGGCUGGAUCCUUUGUCAGAGACGUAAUGGCUCCUUCUUUGAGCCAUCCUCCUCCUCAGUAAGACAAACUCUUUACCUGAUGACUUAAUUAGCUCAUUCUUCAUCCCCCCAAAAAACCCAACAACGAACGUGGCGCAACGAUCGGGUCACCCCGCAUUCAAAUUCGGGCACCACGCACGGCUCACGGAUCAAAAGCGGCUCAUUAGCAUUAAUUAACGCCGCCAGUUAAAUAUUACCUCUUAGAACCGAUCAAAGCGAUCGGCUAAGACGAGAUCAAAGCAUCGCUUAUCGAUCAGCUACAGCUGAUCAGACUGAUUGGUGAUGAGUCUGAACUUAUAUAUGUAUAUAUAUCUAUAGGUAAAGGCUGCUGCUGAGCACCCUUCGACUCUAGGUCCCCCGUUUAAAUGAAAAAUAGAUUUCAUUACAGAAACCACGUCACCUCCCCGGUUUGUUAAAGGAAAAAAGUGAUGGCUUCCUGCGCGUCAGUGAUUUAUGGCGCCUCCUCAAUGGGAUGUUUUCAUCUAUUAUAAAG
RNAcentral lists this long non-coding RNA (1915 nucleotides) under Takifugu rubripes (torafugu). Its description in RNAcentral is "lncRNA (ENSTRUG00000028548.1)". The stretch from base 152 to 227 matches the Rfam family "mir-10 microRNA precursor family". The record is from RNAcentral. Lineage: Eukaryota; Metazoa; Chordata; Actinopteri; Tetraodontiformes; Tetraodontidae.